CUGUGACAAUAAUAGACCCAGCUGCAUGAUCCCAUACUGCUUCUUUGGAACGUUUGUGUGGAAAUCGCCAAUAAAUGGCGCCAUCACCUUGGGCUACAGCACCAUAUUUUGCUUGGCUAUCAAUUCUAACUGGAGGAGCUUGAAUACCAAGUUUCUGCCAAGCAUAAUAUAAUCAGAUUUACUUUGUUUUCUUUCAUAAGAUUCAAAGAAUGAGGCAUCCACUGGAUUGCUGAUAGAACAGACACUGAUCUAAAAUUGGAAAGCCUUCUAAGGACUCAACUGUAGAUCCACAGCCAAUUGUAGCAGAAAAGAGGGCACCAACUUGAUCUCCCGAAGAUCCACCAUUGUGAUCUAUUGAUUUGAAAGGAAGAUUUGGGCAUGCCAUUGCUCCCAAAACUACUUUGCCUUCGUCCAGUAAUGCAAGUCCAAUUGCAUAUUGGUCUCCCCUUAUGAACCCCUUAGUUCCAUCUAUCGGAUCCAAUAUCCAAUAUCGCCCAGAAGGUCCACCCUCAGAUUUUCCACCAUCGAUUGCUACCAGCACAUCUUCCUUAGAUAAUGUGAUGCUGUACGAACCAUCAUUUAUGAUGGUUUCGUUCACAAGUUUGGUGAUAUGUCCCAACAUUUCUUGAGCUCCAUCUUUCCUCAAGUCUUCAGAAUCCUUUAUAAGUCAACAAGUAAUGGAAAAAGA
This 688-nucleotide small RNA is filed under the name Oryza sativa Japonica Group (Japanese rice). RNAcentral describes it as "sRNA Os12g0183250". The record is from RNAcentral. Lineage: Eukaryota; Viridiplantae; Streptophyta; Magnoliopsida; Poales; Poaceae.